RNAcentral lists this ribosomal RNA (250 nucleotides) under uncultured bacterium. Its description in RNAcentral is "partial 16S ribosomal RNA". It matches the Rfam family "Bacterial small subunit ribosomal RNA", at positions 15 to 258 of the family's 1533-position model. The record is from RNAcentral.
GAUCCUGGCUCAGAUUGAACGCUGGCGGCAGGCCUAACACAUGCAAGUCGAACGGUAACAGGAAACAGCUUGCUGUUUCGCUGACGAGUGGCGGACGGGUGAGUAAUGUCUGGGAAACUGCCUGAUGGAGGGGGAUAACUACUGGAAACGGUAGCUAAUACCGCAUAAUGUCGCAAGACCAAAGAGGGGGGACCUUCGGGCCGUCUUGCCAUCGGAUGUGCCCACGAUGGGAUUAGCUAGUAGGUGGGGG